UUGACAUCGUCGCCAUCGCCGUGUUUUGUGUGCCUCUGGGGAUGCGUCGUGUCCGCGAGGUUUAGUAAUCCUUUUGGAUUUGCCAGGGAUUUCCUUAACACAUUAGGAUUCACGAUUCGAGAUUGAGGGGUUCGGUGGCUCUCGAGUGGCAGAGAAACUACUAGCAUUCACUGUAGAUAGUUAAAGAAGCAGAGCGUGUCGUUUCUUAACCCUUGCGAAUUGAGAAAUAGCGGCGGUUCGGACUUAGUCAAAACGCGGCGUGAGUUGCUUGAAGUCAUCUAAGUCAGGUGCGAGAAUUUUCCUCCAUCCACGAGCUGCGCCCGCCAGACCAGCGCAGUUAUUGACAUAACGACACGCAGCCGGCAAGCACUUGAAGUAAAUGUCGACUGCGGGAGGAGAUUGUACAUUGUCAACUACGUUGUCUACCGAGAUACUAAGGACAACAGGAACGAGGACGAAUGCUUUCCCUUUGUUUUUGAUAUGGUCGAAAUCCACCUGGCACGUUGACGACCUAAAGGACUUGAGAUUAAUAAUUUCGAUUAAAACUCUGCUAAAUUAUCUUUAGCCCCAAUUAUCGACCUAAUUACAUGCACGUUAAGAGCCGGAGAAUUAAUCUAAAGCUAGAGAUUACGGUGAAUAAAUGUUUAUAGAAACGAGGACUAGUCGAAGUGUUUUUGCAUGUUAGGUGAACGAUCGAAUGGACAAGCCAUUCCGGUAGCUUCAGAUUCAACUGGAGAAGACUACUAAUACAUUCCUGGUAAACAAAAGAAAUUGCAGAAAAUGAUGGAGUGCACUGAUGGAGCGCACUAAAACUUUGAAACGUACUUUGUCGAUGUGCUUCCAACUUAACGGUUUCCUCUGGCCCGAAUCGUCCCAGAAAAAAUGACGUUUCAGGAAUAUACAAGUCAACCGAAGCGGGUCGAACACUACGAAACGAACUUGUCGGGGUGUCAGAUUCCACACAAUGCCAACUCGUUGCAAAUUGCAGUGGAGAAGUAGUGAAAGACGCGCCAUGGCCGUUUUGUCUACAUAACGACUUGCUCAAAUUCAGCGACAAAUGGAACCAUUCAUAUAAGAUAAUAAUGGAACUAAAAAAAUCCUUUAACUGCAAAAGGAAAUUGAAGCCAACUGUAUACGACUUUCCGGCCAAUCUCUACAUGGUCCAAGCAUAGUUCAGCAUUACACGAACUAUCUCGAGACUAGGUCCUGCUAGAUAUGCCUUGAAUGGCAUGAUAAUCCUCAAAAAUACAACCCCCAUUGAAGAAAGUUGCAUAAAUAAAUAUCUGUCUAUGGUCGAAUGUUCAAACAGAUGUAAAGCUACAGCUGGUGGAUAGGAAUUCAAACUAAUAAUGGUGUCCUCAGCUAGACCAAUACAUGAAAGCUCACCUUAGGGACCAACUC
This is a non-coding RNA of Physcomitrium patens, 1401 nucleotides long. Lineage: Eukaryota; Viridiplantae; Streptophyta; Bryopsida; Funariales; Funariaceae. The record is from RefSeq and is a predicted model, not a curated record.